Molecule: ribosomal RNA, 679 nt
Filed under: Novosphingobium sp. SMCC G951
Lineage: Bacteria; Pseudomonadati; Pseudomonadota; Alphaproteobacteria; Sphingomonadales; Sphingomonadaceae
Description: bacterial SSU rRNA
Rfam family: Bacterial small subunit ribosomal RNA
Source: RNAcentral
GGCUCAGAACGAACGCUGGCGGCAUGCCUAACACAUGCAAGUCGAACGAACCCUUCGGGGUUAGUGGCGCACGGGUGCGUAACGCGUGGGAAUCUGCCCUUUGCUUCGGAAUAACAGUUAGAAAUGACUGCUAAUACCGGAUGAUGUCUUCGGACCAAAGAUUUAUCGGCAAGGGAUGAGCCCGCGUAGGAUUAGGUAGUUGGUGGGGUAAAGGCCUACCAAGCCGACGAUCCUUAGCUGGUCUGAGAGGAUGAUCAGCCACACUGGGACUGAGACACGGCCCAGACUCCUACGGGAGGCAGCAGUGGGGAAUAUUGGACAAUGGGCGCAAGCCUGAUCCAGCAAUGCCGCGUGAGUGAUGAAGGCCUUCGGGUCGUAAAGCUCUUUUACCAGGGAUGAUAAUGACAGUACCUGGAGAAUAAGCUCCGGCUAACUCCGUGCCAGCAGCCGCGGUAAUACGGAGGGAGCUAGCGUUGUUCGGAAUUACUGGGCGUAAAGCGCACGUAGGCGGCUACUCAAGUCAGAGGUGAAAGCCCGGGGCUCAACCCCGGAACUGCCUUUGAAACUAGGUAGCUGGAAUCUUGGAGAGGUCAGUGGAAUUCCGAGUGUAGAGGUGAAAUUCGUAGAUAUUCGGAAGAACACCAGUGGCGAAGGCGACUGACUGGACAAGUAUGACGCU